GAAGAACUCGGCGGCGAAGGUGACCACGUCCUCCGGCUGGCGCAGCAGCAGGAAGAGCAGGAAGUCGGAGAUGAGCGCGUGGGCUUCGGGGUGCUGCCGCAGAUAGCUGGCGUGGCCGAGCCGGAGCUCCUCCUGGCAGGGGACAGAGCCCGAGCCUCAGCCGGACGGGACCCCCGCGCCCCAGGAGCCCCCAGCCGCUCGCUCCAAGGAGAGCUAAGGGGCGCUGGAGCCUUCUAGCCCCUACGGGUGUGCAUUUCAAUCAGAUGGGCAUCUUGGUGAUGAUGCAGCACCCUGGGGAGCCCACCUGUAUUCUCUUGGCCAGGUGCCUGGAGUGCAACACAACAUGUGAGAGUGAGAAUCUUCCCAGACCGCCUGCUAUGGACUGAAUUGUCUCUCUAACCCCCAGUGUGGUGGUAUUUGGAGAAAGGCCAUGUGAGGACACAUUGAGAAGGCACUUGUCUGCAAGCUAGGAAGACAGCCCUCACCAGAAACCAACCCUGAUGGCACCAUGAUCUUGGACUUCCUGCCUUCCAGCAAAUAUAUUUCUCUUGAAGCCA
This 557-nucleotide long non-coding RNA is filed under the name Homo sapiens (human). Its description in RNAcentral is "non-protein coding CATIP-AS1:13". The record is from RNAcentral. Lineage: Eukaryota; Metazoa; Chordata; Mammalia; Primates; Hominidae.